Molecule: transfer RNA, 67 nt
Filed under: human oral metagenome
Rfam family: tRNA
About the family: Transfer RNA (tRNA) molecules are approximately 80 nucleotides in length.
Source: RNAcentral
CUAUAGCUCAGUUGGUUAGAGCUGCGGACUUUUAAUCCGAGGGUCGCAGGUUCGAGUCCUGCUGGGG